CAUAAAGGUUGACAUUACAAGCUUGAAGUGGCACUGUGUUUGCAUCUACUCUACACCUACUGGGAUAUGAAAACGACAAUAUGAUGAAGAAGGAAAAAUCCCACCAUUGUCUGAUUUACUGCCUUGGAACUUGGAAUGCUGUGAAGUGUGUGCCAAGUAUGGAAUGGAAAACCAAAUGCCCUCCUCAGAGUCAUCCACACACAGUUGUCUUAGACGUGGUGAAGUAUUGAAGAUUCCUCAGUUACCUCCUUAAGUGUCACCAAAACAGCCAGUCUGGGUGUUUCAAACAAAGGUCUUGGGGCAUGGAAUGAGCACGGUAGAAAAUGCAGCGAGGGAAAUGUCAGUUGGAAUCCUCGGAAGAAAUCAGGCAGAAAGUUGACCUUUUGGCACUUGCAGUGCAAUGGAAGGUAGCGCCGC
This 417-nucleotide long non-coding RNA is filed under the name Homo sapiens (human). Its description in RNAcentral is "HSALNT0281304". Lineage: Eukaryota; Metazoa; Chordata; Mammalia; Primates; Hominidae. The record is from RNAcentral.